GACGAACGCUGGCGGCGUGCCUAAUACAUGCAAGUCGAGCGGAAUGAUGAAGAAGCUUGCUUCUUCUGGUUUUAGCGGCGGACGGGUGAGUAACACGUGGGCAACCUACCUUGUAGAUUGGGAUAACUCCGGGAAACCGGGGCUAAUACCGAAUAAUCCAUUUUGCUUCAUGGCGAGAUGUUGAAAGACGGUUUCGGCUGUCACUACAAGAUGGGCCCGCGGCGCAUUAGCUAGUUGGUAGGGUAAUGGCCUACCAAGGCGACGAUGCGUAGCCGACCUGAGAGGGUGAUCGGCCACACUGGGACUGAGACACGGCCCAGACUCCUACGGGAGGCAGCAGUAGGGAAUCUUCCACAAUGGACGAAAGUCUGAUGGAGCAACGCCGCGUGAGUGAAGAAGGUUUUCGGAUCGUAAAACUCUGUUGUAAGGGAAGAACACGUACGAGAGUAACUGCUCGUACCUUGACGGUACCUUAUUAGAAAGCCACGGCUAACUACGUG
This 500-nucleotide ribosomal RNA is filed under the name uncultured bacterium. Its description in RNAcentral is "bacterial SSU rRNA". It matches the Rfam family "Bacterial small subunit ribosomal RNA", at positions 28 to 507 of the family's 1533-position model. The record is from RNAcentral.